RNAcentral lists this ribosomal RNA (902 nucleotides) under Dichotomophthora portulacae. RNAcentral describes it as "LSU rRNA". It matches the Rfam family "Eukaryotic large subunit ribosomal RNA", at positions 44 to 959 of the family's 3401-position model. Lineage: Eukaryota; Fungi; Ascomycota; Dothideomycetes; Pleosporales; Pleosporaceae. The record is from RNAcentral.
CAAUAAGCGGAGGAAAAGAAACCAACAGGGAUUGCCCUUMGUAACGGCGAAGUGAAAGCGGCAACAGCUCAAAUUUGAAAUCUGGCUCUUUCAGAGUCCGAGUUGUAAUUUGCAGAGGGCGCUUUGGCUUUGGCAGCGGUCCAAGUUCCUUGGAACAGGACGUCACAGAGGGUGAGAAUCCCGUACGUGGUCGCUAGCUAUUGCCGUGUAAAGCCCCUUCGACGAGUCGAGUUGUUUGGGAAUGCAGCUCUAAAUGGGAGGUAAAUUUCUUCUAAAGCUAAAUAUUGGCCAGAGACCGAUAGCGCACAAGUAGAGUGAUCGAAAGAUGAAAAGCACUUUGGAAAGAGAGUCAAACAGCACGUGAAAUUGUUGAAAGGGAAGCGCUUGCAGCCAGACUUGCUUGCAGUUGCUCAUCCGGGCUUUUGCCCGGUGCACUCUUCUGCAGGCAGGCCAGCAUCAGUUUGGGCGGUGGGAUAAAGGUCUCUGUCACGUACCUCUCUUCGGGGAGGCCUUAUAGGGGAGACGACAUACCACCAGCCUGGACUGAGGUCCGCGCAUCUGCUAGGAUGCUGGCGUAAUGGCUGUAAGCGGCCCGUCUUGAAACACGGACCAAGGAGUCUAACAUCUAUGCGAGUGUUUGGGUGUCAAGCCCGAGCGCGUAAUGAAAGUGAACGGAGGUGGGAACCCGCAAGGGCGCACCAUCGACCGAUCCUGAAGUUUACGGAAGGAUUUGAGUAAGAGCAUGGCUGUUGGGACCCGAAAGAUGGUGAACUAUGCUUGAAUAGGGUGAAGCCAGAGGAAACUCUGGUGGAGGCUCGCAGCGGUUCUGACGUGCAAAUCGAUUCGUCAAAUUUGGGCAUAGGGGGCGAAAGACUAAUCGAACUAUCUAGUAGCUGGUCUGC